GAUGAACGCUAGCGGCAGGCUUAAUACAUGCAAGUCGAGGGGCAGCAGGUCCCGCAGCAAUGCGGGAUGCUGGCGACCGGCAAACGGGUGCGGAACACGUACACAACCUUCCUUUAAGCGGGGAAUAGCCCGGGGAAACCCGGAUUAAUACUCCAUAGUAUAUUGAAAAGGCAUCUUUUAAUAUUAAAGAUUAUCACUUAAAGAUGGGUGUGCGGCUGAUUAGGUAGUUGGCGGGAACGGCCACCAAGCCUACGAUCAGUAACUGGUGUGAGAGCACGACCAGUCACACGGGCACUGAGACACGGGCCCGACUCCUACGGGAGGCAGCAGUAAGGAAUAUUGGUCAAUGGAACGAAAGUCUGAACCAGCCAUGCCGCGUGGAGGAU
This 386-nucleotide ribosomal RNA is filed under the name uncultured bacterium. RNAcentral describes it as "bacterial SSU rRNA". It matches the Rfam family "Bacterial small subunit ribosomal RNA", at positions 28 to 409 of the family's 1533-position model. The record is from RNAcentral.